This is a long non-coding RNA of Ochotona princeps (American pika), 1172 nucleotides long. RefSeq lists it as uncharacterized. The transcript is spliced from 4 exons. The record is from RefSeq and is a predicted model, not a curated record. NCBI's taxonomy places the organism in Eukaryota, Metazoa, Chordata, Mammalia, Lagomorpha, Ochotonidae.
CAGCAACCUGCUUUUGGAACACAAAGAAAAAGCAACAGUGUUGGGGAGUCAGUGAAAACUUCACCAAUACGCUCAUGUCAUGAGCGGAUUGAGCUUACUUAAUUCUCAGAAAAAUGAAAUAACUUGGACAAAUGUUAUCUGAGGAUUAAAAAUGAUAAUUACUAUAGUUUGCAUAAGAUAUGGCUCCCUGAUCAAUGCAGAUGUUGAAACCCCAAAGUUGUAAGUUAUCAGUACUAAAACUUGAAACUUCUUCUGAUUAGGUCAUUGGGAGGGGGCCACUCAGAAGGUCAUGCUAGCAGUGCAGUUGACUAUGAAGCCUGAGUUGCGCCCAGUCUCUCUACUUCCUGGCCCACCCUCAGACCCUUAGCCUGCACACACCCUCCUUCACUAGUCUUCAAGGGUUGGAUAGUCAAACCAGUGGGACCCACCUGGUCUUGGACUGUAAAUCUCCCAAACUGUGAGCUAAAAUGACCCUUUUCCUUCACAAGGUGAUGGAAAGUUAAUCAUAUGUGCAUAAUUAUUCGUGGAAUACUUCGCACUUAAAAAGCAUUCAAAAACAAUCAUUAAAAUUAAUAAUAAUAAUUCUGAAACAGGAAAAAGUGGAGAGAAGAGUACUCCAACCAGGAAGACCAGCAUGGAAAGAGGUGCAUGGUGGCUGGAAUCAAGAUGCGUUUGGAGGAGCUGCAGGAACCAAAAUCACAAAGAAGGUGUCAGUCUUUGGAUCUCCACAAACUCAACAAGCAACAUGCUCUAAACAUCCCGGAGAACUCCUGCCGUGACCUCUGUGCUUUUCCUUUGACUGGACCAUUUCCGUCGCUUGACUACCACUGCUUGACUGUGCCCUGUCUUCAGGAUCUCACUGGAGAAGCCAGUUACAAUCCUUCUGUAAAACCCAUUUCUUCAACAUUUCCAGUGAAAUCUGCUCUUGGCUACAGCGGAGGCCUGAGCCUUCCUAGUGUCAACUCAUGUUGAUGGGUGCCCACUCACGCAGGACUACCUCUGAAGGAGGGUGUCAGAUCCUGGCAACCUGCAGGCCAAGAAACACAGGUCUGGGUGAAAAAUGAUGCCAAAGAAUUAUAACAUUGAAGAAAGCAGCUACUGAAAUACUGCAGCCCACAAGACCCAAACUCCCUAGGAGGCCUUGAGUGCCAGAGACACAGAAUACCAGAGUG